Molecule: ribosomal RNA, 460 nt
Filed under: uncultured Streptococcus sp.
Lineage: Bacteria; Bacillati; Bacillota; Bacilli; Lactobacillales; Streptococcaceae
Description: bacterial SSU rRNA
Rfam family: Bacterial small subunit ribosomal RNA
Source: RNAcentral
GCACAAGCGGUGGAGCAUGUGGAUUAAUUCGAUGCAACGCGAAAAACCUUUACCUACCCUUGACAUGUCCGGAAUCCCGAAGAGAUUUGGGAGUGCUCGCAAGAGAACCGGAACACAGGUGCUGCAUGGCUGUCGUCAGCUCGUGUCGUGAGAUGUUGGGUUAAGUCCCGCAACGAGCGCAACCCUUGUCAUUAGUUGCCAUCAUUUGGUUGGGCACUCUAAUGAGACUGCCGGUGACAAACCGGAGGAAGUGGGGAUGACGUCAAGUCCUCAUGGCCCUUAUGACCUGGGCUACACACGUGCUACAAUGGUUGGUACGACGAGUUGCGAGUCGGUGACGGCGAGCUAAUCUCUUAAAGCCAAUCUCAGUUCGGAUUGUAGGCUGCAACUCGCCUACAUGAAGUCGGAAUCGCUAGUAAUCGCGGAUCAGCACGCCGCGGUCGAAUACGUUCCGGGCCUU